CUCUAUCAUAGUUUUACACUGUUUAUAUUUAACAUUUGAUCGUUCGUUUUAUUUGAAUUAUUUUAUGAUUAACAUUUUUAUUGUUAUUAAAUGAUAAAACAUAAAUAAUAUUUUAUGUGUGACUAAUUUUUUUAAAAAAAAUUAUAAAGAUGGAUAGUCAAAUAUUGGAUAUGAAUAUCUACAGUUGUACUUAUU
Molecule: microRNA precursor, 195 nt
Organism: Oryza sativa Japonica Group (Japanese rice)
Lineage: Eukaryota; Viridiplantae; Streptophyta; Magnoliopsida; Poales; Poaceae
Rfam family: MIR812 microRNA precursor family
Source: Rfam